This 433-nucleotide ribosomal RNA is filed under the name uncultured bacterium. Its description in RNAcentral is "partial 16S ribosomal RNA". It matches the Rfam family "Bacterial small subunit ribosomal RNA", at positions 29 to 507 of the family's 1533-position model. The record is from RNAcentral.
AACGAACGCUGGCGGCAUGCCUAACACAUGCAAGUCGAACGAGACCUUCGGGUCUAGUGGCGCACGGGUGCGUAACGCGUGGGAACCUGCCCUUAGGUUCGGAAUAACUCCCCGAAAGGGGUGCUAAUACCGGACAAUAUCUUCGGACCAAAGAUUUAUCGCCUUUGGAUGGGCCCGCGUUGGAUUAGCUAGUUGGUAGGGUAAAAGCCUACCAAGGCGACGAUCCAUAGCUGGUCUGAGAGGAUGAUCCGCCACACUGGGACUGGGACACGGCCCAGACUCCUACGGGAGGCAGCAGUGGGGAAUAUUGGACACUGGGCGAAAGCCUGAUCCAGCAAUGCCGCGUGAGUGAUGAAGGCCUUAGGGUUGUAAAGCUCUUUUACCCGGGAUGAUAAUGACAGUACCGGGAGAAUAAGCUCCGGCUAACUCCGUG